UGAGGAACUCGGCUAGCCGAUUUUAGAUUGGUUGUUUAUUGCACGCAAUGCGAGAUCUGUAGGAACGUUGGUAAACAGUGAAAUUACAUCUUAAGAUAUUAACGUGUAAUUGUCCGGGAUAAUCAAUGUUUUAAUUUUAUCAACUAAUAAAAAGCUAUCCUUAACUCUCGAGAUGGGAGGUGUGAUAUUGGUGGGACAUCCUCUUUGUGAAUUUUUGGAAGCCCAUAUGCGCGUGGAGGGACACUAUUGUACGUAGAACCUGGCACUCAUAUACAACAUACUAAGAUGGAAUGAUUACCCUCAUGGCCUAUUACAACAACAAAUUAAUAAGAGACGUACCUACAUCAACAACAUACUUGACCAUAAUAUUGACUCUGCUCCCGCUGAAGAUAGCAAUAGACCUGCUACUACAUAUAUCCCCAUUCCAUAUGUAGCCGGCCUCUUUGAGUCACUUAAUCGUUUAUUCGCCAAAUAUAAUGUAAAGUUUGUU
RNAcentral lists this long non-coding RNA (490 nucleotides) under Neodiprion lecontei (redheaded pine sawfly). Its description in RNAcentral is "uncharacterized LOC124294260". The record is from RNAcentral. Lineage: Eukaryota; Metazoa; Arthropoda; Insecta; Hymenoptera; Diprionidae.